GUGCUUGCUUCAGCAGCACAUAUCCUAAAAUUGGAACAAUACAGGGAAGAUUAGCAUGGCCUCUAUGCAUGGAUGACAUGCAGAGCUCUGAAGUGUUCCAUAAAAAA
Small nuclear RNA from Choloepus hoffmanni (Hoffmann's two-fingered sloth), 107 nucleotides. NCBI's taxonomy places the organism in Eukaryota, Metazoa, Chordata, Mammalia, Pilosa, Megalonychidae. The record is from Ensembl.